Parasteatoda tepidariorum (common house spider) is the source of this 459-nucleotide long non-coding RNA. RefSeq lists it as uncharacterized. Lineage: Eukaryota; Metazoa; Arthropoda; Arachnida; Araneae; Theridiidae. The record is from RefSeq and is a predicted model, not a curated record.
UUUAAUUAUUUUAGUUCUUUCGGUGUGUUGCUAAUUGUGCUCAAAAUCACUUUUGAUAAUGGAAUGUAUUUGUUACUAUUUGAAUGUACGUUUGCAACCAUUUUAGAAUGGAUACUGUGUUUCUGAAGAAAAUUCUUUGUUUAGCAGAAUCCUUAAAAAAAUCAAAUAAAGCAAGAAUUAAUAGAAAAACAACACAAGGUAAUCAACAUUGAAAUGAAGAAGAAAAAUGAGCGAGAAGAUUUUCGUAAAGUCUGAUAAAAUAAACUGAACAUAGGAAGAUGGGGCAUUGUUUUCAACCGAGUUUCAAGCUACUUCAUGUAAAAGUUACUACCAUAAAUUACGUAUUUCAAUAGUGGUAUUAUAUUAUAGUACGUAUUUAGUUUAUAACGUAUUUGGUUUACAACGCAUUUAUUAUGAAUUUAAUUAUUACAUAUAAUAAGGCAUAACAACAUUUCAGUA